AACGUAGGUGGCGAGCGUUAUCCGGAUUUACUGGGCGUAAAGCGUGUGCAGGCGGCCCAUCAAGUGGUGUAUGAAAUCGCCCGGCUCAACCGGGCUACGUUAUGCCAGACUGAGGGGCUGGAGACGAGGAGAGGGACGUGGAAUUCCGGGUGUAGUGGUGAAAUGCGUAGAGAUCCGGAGGAACCCCAGAGGCGAAGGCGGCGUCCUGGCCUCGAUCUGACGCUCAGACACGACAGCAUGGGGAG
This 245-nucleotide ribosomal RNA is filed under the name uncultured bacterium. Its description in RNAcentral is "partial 16S ribosomal RNA". It matches the Rfam family "Bacterial small subunit ribosomal RNA", at positions 524 to 768 of the family's 1533-position model. The record is from RNAcentral.